UACAGAGGGUGCGAGCGUUGUUCGGAAUUACUGGGCGUAAAGCGCGCGCAGGCGGCUCUUUAAGUCUCGUGGGCAAAUGCCGGGGCUCAACCCCGAGCGUGCCGGGGAUACUGGAGGGCUGGAGACAGGUAGAGGCAAGCGGAAUUCCGGGUGUAGCGGUGGAAUGCGUAGAGAUCCGGAAGAACACCGGAGGCGAAGGCGGCUUGCUGGACCUGGUCUGACGCUGAGGCGCGAAAGCGUGGGGAGCGAACAGG
Molecule: ribosomal RNA, 254 nt
Filed under: uncultured bacterium
Lineage: Bacteria
Description: partial 16S ribosomal RNA
Rfam family: Bacterial small subunit ribosomal RNA
Source: RNAcentral